GGUGGCAUAGCCAAGUGGUAAGGCAGAGGUCUGCAAAACCUUUAUCCCCAGUUCAAAUCUGGGUGUCGCCUCCA
RNAcentral lists this transfer RNA (74 nucleotides) under Anaerosalibacter massiliensis. RNAcentral's name for it is "tRNA-Cys". It matches the Rfam family "tRNA". From Rfam's summary of the family: Transfer RNA (tRNA) molecules are approximately 80 nucleotides in length. The record is from RNAcentral. Lineage: Bacteria; Bacillati; Bacillota; Tissierellia; Tissierellales; Sporanaerobacteraceae.